RNAcentral lists this microRNA precursor (203 nucleotides) under Oryza glumipatula. RNAcentral describes it as "MIR812 microRNA precursor family". It matches the Rfam family "MIR812 microRNA precursor family". Lineage: Eukaryota; Viridiplantae; Streptophyta; Magnoliopsida; Poales; Poaceae. The record is from Rfam by way of RNAcentral.
AAUAGAUGACGAUGUUGACUUUUUCUCACAUGUUUGACCAUUCGUCUUAUUCAAAAAAUUUACGUAAUUAUAAUUUAUUUGUUAUGAGUUGUUUUAUCACUCAUAGUACUUUAAGUAUGAUUUAUAUCUUAUACAAUUGCAUAAAUUUUUUGAAUAAGACGAAUGGUCAAACAUGUGAGAAAAAGUCAACGGCGUCAUCUAUU